RNAcentral lists this transfer RNA (69 nucleotides) under Rattus norvegicus (Norway rat). It matches the Rfam family "tRNA". Rfam says of the family: Transfer RNA (tRNA) molecules are approximately 80 nucleotides in length. Their secondary structure includes four short double-helical elements and three loops (D, anti-codon, and T loops). The record is from Rfam by way of RNAcentral. Lineage: Eukaryota; Metazoa; Chordata; Mammalia; Rodentia; Muridae.
GGGGAUUUAGCUCAGCGGUAGAGCGCUUGCCUAGGAAGCCUAAGGCCCUGGGUUCGGUCCCCAGCUCCG